Molecule: ribosomal RNA, 486 nt
Filed under: uncultured bacterium
Lineage: Bacteria
Description: bacterial SSU rRNA
Rfam family: Bacterial small subunit ribosomal RNA
Source: RNAcentral
AUUGAACGCUGGCGGAAUGCUUUACACAUGCAAGUCGAACGGCAGCAUAGGUGCUUGCACCUGAUGGCGAGUGGCGAACGGGUGAGUAAUACAUCGGAACGUGCCCAGUCGUGGGGGAUAACGUAGCGAAAGUUACGCUAAUACCGCAUACGAUCUACGGAUGAAAGCGGGGGACCGCAAGGCCUCGCGCGAUUGGAGCGGCCGAUGUUAGAUUAGGUAGUUGGUGGGGUAAAGGCUCACCAAGCCGACGAUCUAUAGCUGGUCUGAGAGGAUGAUCAGCCACACUGGGACUGAGACACGGCCCAGACUCCUACGGGAGGCAGCAGUGGGGAAUUUUGGACAAUGGGCGCAAGCCUGAUCCAGCCAUUCCGCGUGCAGGACGAAGGCCUUCGGGUUGUAAACUGCUUUUGUACAGAACGAAAAGCUCUGGGUUAAUACCCUGGGGUCAUGACGGUACUGUAAGAAUAAGCACCGGCUAACUACGUG